This 253-nucleotide ribosomal RNA is filed under the name uncultured bacterium. RNAcentral describes it as "partial 16S ribosomal RNA". It matches the Rfam family "Bacterial small subunit ribosomal RNA", at positions 523 to 776 of the family's 1533-position model. The record is from RNAcentral.
UGACGAAGGGGGCUAGCGUUGUUCGGAUUUACUGGGCGUAAAGCGCACGUAGGCGGAUCGUUAAGUCGGGGGUGAAAUCCUGGAGCUCAACUCCAGAACUGCCUUCGAUACUGGCGAUCUAGAGUCCGGAAGAGGUGAGUGGAACUGCGAGUGUAGAGGUGAAAUUCGUAGAUAUUCGCAAGAACACCAGUGGCGAAGGCGGCUCACUGGCCCGAUCUGACGCUGAGGCACGAAAGCGUGGGGAGCAAACAGG